UACGAAGGGGGCUAGCGUUGUUCGGAUUUACUGGGCGUAAAGCGCACGUAGGCGGAUUGUUAAGUCAGGGGUGAAAUCCUGGAGCUCAACUCCAGAACUGCCUCUGAUACUGGCAAUCUUGAGUCCGGAAGAGGUGAGUGGAACUCCUAGUGUAGAGGUGGAAUUCGUAGAUAUUAGGAAGAACACCAGUGGCGAAGGCGGCUCACUGGUCCGGUACUGACGCUGAGGUGCGAAAGCGUGGGGAGCAAACAGG
Molecule: ribosomal RNA, 253 nt
Filed under: uncultured bacterium
Lineage: Bacteria
Description: partial 16S ribosomal RNA
Rfam family: Bacterial small subunit ribosomal RNA
Source: RNAcentral